UACGUAGGGGGCAAGCGCUGUCCGGAUUUACUGGGCGUAAAGCGCGCGUAGGCGGAACGAUCAGUCCGGUCUGAAAGCCCCCGGCUCAACCGGGGAGGGUGGCUGGAAACUGUCGUUCUUGAGGGCGAGAGAGGAGGGUGGAAUUCCUGGUGUAGCGGUGAAAUGCGUAGAGAUCAGGAGGAACACCCGUGGCGAAGGCGGCCCUCUGGCUCGACCCUGACGCUGAGGCGCGAAAGCGUGGGGAGCGAACGGG
This 253-nucleotide ribosomal RNA is filed under the name uncultured bacterium. RNAcentral describes it as "partial 16S ribosomal RNA". It matches the Rfam family "Bacterial small subunit ribosomal RNA", at positions 524 to 776 of the family's 1533-position model. The record is from RNAcentral.